RNAcentral lists this ribosomal RNA (587 nucleotides) under uncultured bacterium. RNAcentral describes it as "partial 16S ribosomal RNA". The record is from RNAcentral.
UACCUUGUUACGACUUCACCCCAAUCACCGGCCAUACCUUCGAUGGCUGCCCCCCUUGCGGGUUAGCUCACCAACUUCGGGUACAACAGACUUUCGUGGUGUGACGGGCGGUGUGUACAAGGCCCGGGAACGUAUUCACCGCGGCGUAGUGAUCCGCGAUUACUAGCGAUUCCACGUUCACGGAGUCGAGUUGCAGACUCCGAUCCCAACUGAGACUACUUCUAGGGAUUGGCUCCACCUCACAGCUUCGCUCCCCUCUGUAGUAGCCAUUGUAGCACGUGUGCAGCCCUGGACAUAAGGGCCACGAUGACUUGACGUCAUCCCCACCUUCCUCCAGCUUGUCGCUGGCAGUUUCCUCAGAGAGCCCUCUCAGGCAACAGAGAAUAAGGGUUGCGCUCGUUGCGGGACUUAACCCAACACCUCACGGCACGAGCUGACGACAGCCAUGCAGCACCGUGUGUUAGCUCCUUAAGUUUCCCUAAGGGUAUCACCCUUUUAGGGCUCUUACCAACUAACACUGUAAGCCCAGGUAAGGUUCUUCGGGUUGGGUGGAAUUAACCACACUGCUCCCCCGCUUGUGCGGCCCC